GAUGAACGCUAGCGGCAGGCCUAAUACAUGCAAGUCGAGCGGCAGCAUGGUCCUUCGGGACCGAUGGCGAGCGGCGCACGGGUGCGUAACGCGUAUGCAACCUACCGAGAAGAGGGGAAUAGCCCGUGGAAACGCGGAUUAAUGCCCCGUGGCAAGACGAGUCGGCAUCGACAUGUCUUUAAAGCUUCGGCGCUUCUCGAUGGGCAUGCGUCCAAUUAGCUAGAUGGCGGGGUAACGGCCCACCAUGGCGAUGAUUGGUAGGGGGCCUGAGAGGGUGAUCCCCCACACUGGUACUGAGACACGGACCAGACUCCUACGGGAGGCAGCAGUAGGGAAUAUUGGUCAAUGGGCGAGAGCCUGAACCAGCCAUGCCGCGUGCAGGAAGACGGCCCUUGGGUUGUAAACUGCUUUUGUACGGGAAGAAAAGGGCCCUGCGGGGCACAUUGACGGUACCGUACGAAUAAGCACCGGCUAACUACG
RNAcentral lists this ribosomal RNA (480 nucleotides) under uncultured Cytophagales bacterium. RNAcentral describes it as "bacterial SSU rRNA". It matches the Rfam family "Bacterial small subunit ribosomal RNA", at positions 28 to 505 of the family's 1533-position model. Lineage: Bacteria; Pseudomonadati; Bacteroidota; Sphingobacteriia; Sphingobacteriales. The record is from RNAcentral.